Molecule: ribosomal RNA, 253 nt
Filed under: uncultured bacterium
Lineage: Bacteria
Description: partial 16S ribosomal RNA
Rfam family: Bacterial small subunit ribosomal RNA
Source: RNAcentral
GACGAACCGUCCUAACGUUGUUCGGAAUCACUGGGCUUAAAGGGCGCGUAGGCGGGUCAGCAAGUCCGGGGUGAAAUCUUUCGGCUUAACCGGAAAAGUGCCUUGGAGACUGCUGGUCUAGAGGGAGGUAGGGGCAUGUGGAACUUCCGGUGGAGCGGUGAAAUGCGUUGAUAUCGGAAGGAACGCCGGUGGCGAAAGCGACGUGCUGGAUCUCUUCUGACGCUGAGGCGCGAAAGCCAGGGGAGCAAACGGG